Molecule: non-coding RNA, 234 nt
Organism: Pelobates cultripes (western spadefoot toad)
Lineage: Eukaryota; Metazoa; Chordata; Amphibia; Anura; Pelobatidae
Source: the annotation of a GenBank genome assembly
CUUGCGCGCCCUUCGCUUUAGCCCUGCGCGCUGUCAUCUUCUCUGGGGCCAACCUUCUGUUCGUCGCUGUCACUCCCUUCCGAUCCUCCCCUAACUACCAGCCUCGUCUAUCAUCGUCCCUUCCCCGGUCAUAUAGGAAAACCCGGGGAAGCGCUGCGCUCCUGCCCACUGCCUGAUGACCCUCUGUUCCGUCUUGCUGCGCUAUACCCCUCUGGACCGCUCCGUGCCUUAGCC